RNAcentral lists this transfer RNA (72 nucleotides) under Phrynosoma platyrhinos (Desert horned lizard). RNAcentral describes it as "tRNA-OTHER". The record is from RNAcentral. Lineage: Eukaryota; Metazoa; Chordata; Lepidosauria; Squamata; Phrynosomatidae.
GCCAGUGUGGCAUAGUGGUUUGAGCCUUGGACUGAAACUCUGAAGACCAUGGUUUGAUUCGCACCUUGGUCA